CCGUAUAACAAUACUCCGAGAACUGAAAGGCUUUUUGAAGUCUUCGGAUGGAUAGAAGAACCCCUGAUGCCGUCGAGCCAAGAAAAGUUUCUAAGUUUAGCUAAUGUUGCCCGUACCGUAAACCGACACAGGUGGGUGGGAUGAGUAUUCUAAGGCGCGUGGAAGAACUCUCUUUAAGGAACUCUGCAAAAUAGCACCGUAUCUUCGGUAUAAGGUGUGGUUCGCUUCGUAUUAGGAUUUACUCCGAAAGCGAAGAAACUUACAACAAAGAGUCCCUCCCGACUGUUUACCAAAAACACAGCACUCUGCUAACUCGUAAGAGGAUGUAUAGGGUGUGACGCCUGCCCGGUGCUCGAAGGUUAAUUGAUGGGGUUAGCAUUAGCGAAGCUCUUGAUCGAAGCCCGAGUAAACGGCGGCCGUAACUAUAACGGUCCUAAGGUAGCGAAAUUCCUUGUCGGUUAAAUACCGACCUGCAUGAAUGGCGUAACGAGAUGGGAGCUGUCUCAAAGAGGGAUCCAGUGAAAUUGUAGUGGAGGUGAAAAUUCCUCCUACCCGCGGCAAGACGGAAAGACCCCGUGGACCUUUACUACAGCUUGACACUGCUAUUUGGAUAAGAAUGUGCAGGAUAGGUGGGAGGCUUUGAGUAUAUGACGCCAGUUGUAUAUGAGCCAUUGUUGAGAUACCACUCUUUCUUAUUUGGGUAGCUAACCAGCUUGAGUUAUCCUCAAGUGGGACAAUGUCUGGUGGGUAGUUUGACUGGGGCGGUCGCCUCCCAAAUAAUAACGGAGGCUUACAAAGGUUGGCUCAGAACGGUUGGAAAUCGUUCGUAGAGUAUAAAGGUAUAAGCCAGCUUAACUGCAAGACAUACAAGUCAAGCAGAGACGAAAGUCGGUCUUAGUGAUCCGGUGGUUCUGUGUGGAAGGGCCAUCGCUCAAAGGAUAAAAGGUACCCCGGGGAUAACAGGCUGAUCUCCCCCAAGAGCUCACAUCGACGGGGAGGUUUGGCACCUCGAUGUCGGCUCAUCGCAUCCUGGGGCUGGAGCAGGUCCCAAGGGUAUGGCUGUUCGCCAUUUAAAGCGGUACGCGAGCUGGGUUCAGAACGUCGUGAGACAGUUCGGUCCCUAUCUGCCGUGGGCGUAAGAAGAUUGAAGAGAUUUGACCCUAGUACGAGAGGACCGGGUUGAACAAACCACUGGUGUAGCUGUUGUUCUGCCAAGAGCAUCGCAGCGUAGCUAAGUUUGGAAAGGAUAAACGCUGAAAGCAUCUAAGCGUGAAGCCAACUCUAAGAUGAAUCUUCUCUAAGCUCUCUAGAAGACUACUAGUUUGAUAGGCUGGGUGUGUAAUGGAUGAAAGUCCUUUAGCUGACCAGUACUAAUAGAGCGUUUGGCUUAUCUUUAAUAAAGCAU
Molecule: ribosomal RNA, 1405 nt
Filed under: Campylobacter coli
Lineage: Bacteria; Pseudomonadati; Campylobacterota; Epsilonproteobacteria; Campylobacterales; Campylobacteraceae
Description: partial 23S ribosomal RNA
Rfam family: Bacterial large subunit ribosomal RNA
Source: RNAcentral